AGAGUUUGAUCCUGGCUCAGAUUGAACGCUGGCGGCACGCUUAACACAUGCAAGUCGAACGGCAGCGGAGGAAAGCUUGCUUUCCUGCCGGCGAGUGGCGAACGGGUGAGUAACGCGUAGGAAUCUACCCAAAUGUUGGGGACAACCCGAGGAAACUCGGGCUAAUACCGAAUAAGCCUUAAGAGGUAAAGAGGGCCUCUGUUUCAAGCUCUCGCUUUUGGAUGAGCCUGCGUCAGAUUAGCUUGCUGGUGGGGUAAUGGCCUACCAAGGCGACGAUCUGUAGCUGGUCUGAGAGGACGAUCAGCCACACUGGAACUGAGACACGGUCCAGACUCCUACGGGAGGCAGCAGUGGGGAAUAUUGGACAAUGGGGGAAACCCUGAUCCAGCGAUGCCGCGUGUGUGAAGAAGGCCUGCGGGUUGUAAAGCACUUUAGUUGGGGAAGAAAAAGUUAUUGUUAAUAGCAAUAACCAUUGACGUUACCCUAAGAAUAAGCACCGGCUAACUCUGUGCCAGCAGCCGCGGUAAUACAGAGGGUGCAAGCGUUAAUCGGAAUUACUGGGCGUAAAGGGCGCGUAGGCGGCUAAGUAAGUUGGAUGUGAAAUCCCUGGGCUUAACCCAGGAACUGCAUUCAAUACUGCUUAGCUAGAGUAGAGUAGAGGGAAGUGGAAUUUCCGGUGUAGCGGUGAAAUGCGUAGAUAUCGGAAGGAACAUCAGUGGCGAAGGCGGCUUCCUGGACUCAUACUGACGCUGAGGCGCGAAAGCGUGGGGAGCGAACAGGAUUAGAUACCCUGGUAGUCCACGCCGUAAACGAUGAGAACUAGAGGUUGGGGUUUAGAUACCCUUGUCUCGAAGCUAACGCGAUAAGUUCUCCGCCUGGGGAGUACGGCCGCAAGGCUAAAACUCAAAGGAAUUGACGGGGGCCCGCACAAGCGGUGGAACAUGUGGUUUAAUUCGAUGCAACGCGAAGAACCUUACCUACCCUUGACAUCCCUGGAAUCUUAUAGAGAUAUGAGAGUGCCUUCGGGAACCAGGUGACAGGUGCUGCAUGGCUGUCGUCAGCUCGUGUCGUGAGAUGUUGUGGUUAAGUCCCAUAACGAGCGCAACCCUUACCCUUAGUUGCCAGCGAUUUGGUCGGGAACUCUAAGGAGACUGCCGGUGAUAAACCGGAGGAAGGUGGGUACGAUGUCAAGUCAUCAUGGUCCUUAUGGGUAGGGCUACACACGUGUUACAAUGGGCAGUACAGAGGGUUGCCAAACUGUGAAGUGGAGCUAAUCUCAGAAAGCUGCUCGUAGUCCGGAUUGGAGUCUGCAACUCGACUCCAUGAAGCUGGAAUCGCUAGUAAUCGCGAAUCAGAAUGUCGCGGUGAAUACGUUCUCGGGCCUUGUACACACCGCCCGUCACACCAUGGGAGUAGAUUGCACCAGAAGUAGGUUGCUUAACCUUCGGGAGAGCGCUUACCACGGUGUGGUUUAUGACUGGGGUGAAGUCGUAACAAGGUA
This 1501-nucleotide ribosomal RNA is filed under the name metagenome. RNAcentral describes it as "bacterial SSU rRNA". It matches the Rfam family "Bacterial small subunit ribosomal RNA". The record is from RNAcentral.